GACGGAGGGGGCUAGCGUUGUUCGGAAUUACUGGGCGUAAAGCGCACGUAGGCGGAUUGAUAAGUUAAAAGUAAAAGCCCAGGGCUCAACCUUGGAACCGCUUUUAAUACUGUCAGUCUAGAGUAAGAUAGGGGGUAACGGAAUUCCUAGUGUAGAGGUGAAAUUCUUAGAUAUUAGGAGGAACACCGAGGGCGAAAGCAGUUACCUGGGUCUUAACUGACGCUAAUGUGCGAAAGCGUGGGGAGCAAACAGG
Molecule: ribosomal RNA, 253 nt
Filed under: uncultured bacterium
Lineage: Bacteria
Description: partial 16S ribosomal RNA
Rfam family: Bacterial small subunit ribosomal RNA
Source: RNAcentral